GCUCAGUUGGUAGAGUACAAGGCUCUUAAUCUUAUGGUCGUGGGUUCAAGCCCCAC
This 56-nucleotide transfer RNA is filed under the name Triticum aestivum (bread wheat). It matches the Rfam family "tRNA", at positions 10 to 63 of the family's 71-position model. Rfam says of the family: Transfer RNA (tRNA) molecules are approximately 80 nucleotides in length. Lineage: Eukaryota; Viridiplantae; Streptophyta; Magnoliopsida; Poales; Poaceae. The record is from Rfam by way of RNAcentral. RNAcentral also lists the same sequence under 1 other name.